GCACAAGCGGCGGAGCAUGCGGAUUAAUUCGAUGCAACGCGAAGAACCUUACCAAGGCUUGACAUACGACCGGUAACGCCCAGAGAUGGGUGCCCCUUUGUGGUCGGUGGACGGGUGGUGCAUGGUUGUCGUCAGCUCGUGUCGUGAGAUGUUGGGUUAAGUCCCGCAACGAGCGCAACCCUCGUCCUAUGUUGCCAGCGGGUCAUGCCGGGGACUCAUGGGAGACUGCCGGGGUCAACUCGGAGGAAGGUGGGGAUGACGUCAAAUCAUCAUGCCCCUUAUGUCUUGGGCUUCACGCAUGCUACAAUGGCCGGUACAAAGGGCUGCGAUACCGCGAGGUGGAGCGAAUCCCAGAAAGCCGGUCUCAGUUCGGAUUGGGGUCUGCAACUCGACCCCAUGAAGUCGGAGUCGCUAGUAAUCGCAGAUCAGCAACGCUGCGGUGAAUACGUUCCCGGGCCUU
Molecule: ribosomal RNA, 460 nt
Filed under: uncultured Cellulomonas sp.
Lineage: Bacteria; Bacillati; Actinomycetota; Actinomycetes; Micrococcales; Cellulomonadaceae
Description: bacterial SSU rRNA
Rfam family: Bacterial small subunit ribosomal RNA
Source: RNAcentral